GACUGUUAAAAACUACGGCCCCCUGGAAGGGCUUACCCAAGAAAUAUACCAACUAUGAGGAAACUCAUUUUACGAUUUUCUGGGACAAGCUCACGGACCCAAUUGAUGCUUCCUCCAGCGUAUCACCCAAUCAGCAGCCAGCUACAAACCUGUAGUGAUAUUCAAAGUUCAUCGCUCCAGUAGAUUGCGGCUCAAACGGAUGUUUUUGAUGUAUCCCAAGAAUUUUACUACGGUACAGAACUCAACGCCAACUCAAGUUCAGAUUCGACAUCAUUUGACAAAAAGGUCAGGCUCCAGCAUGGUACAUGGCAAGCGUAAAUGAUAAGUGCAGAUAACAAUCGUAAGGUGCUGAAAAUAUGCGGACACGAUAAGGAGCCACACCUCUCAUACUUAAAAAGCUUGCUAAUCAUAUACGCAUAACAUAAGAAAAAAGGUCGA
Uranotaenia lowii is the source of this 438-nucleotide long non-coding RNA. RefSeq lists it as uncharacterized. The record is from RefSeq and is a predicted model, not a curated record. Lineage: Eukaryota; Metazoa; Arthropoda; Insecta; Diptera; Culicidae. The transcript has 3 exons.